GCGCACAACCUCUUUUCCACAACAAUUCAGCUUCCAAAAUGCAGUCGGCGGCGCAAUUACUCGACGAGUUGAUGGGCAAAAAUCGAGAUAUUUUGCCUUCAGAAAGGUCAAAAGAAAUCAGAUGGGACCAUCCCUCGGUCUGCAAAAAUUUCCUUUGUGGUUUCUGCCCACAUGAACUCUUUAUCAACACAAGAUCAGAUCUUGGUCCUUGUGAAAAGCUUCAUGAUGAAUCCUUGAGGAGGCAGUUUGAACAGUCAACGGGUCGCGACAAGGUUCGAUACGAGGACGAUUUUCUGUCGUACCUGCAACAGAUUGUGUCAGAGGUCGAUCGUCGAAUACGCAAAGGACAUUCCAGACUAGCUCUCAGUAAUGCACAACAGCAGUUAAGCGCACCCAACCAAGCCAAAAACGAGGAGCAGAUCCGCAUGCUAACAGAGCGCAUCAACACUCUGGUGGAGAAAGCUGAGGAGUUAGGAUGCAGGGGGGAAGUGGAGGAAGCUCAGGGAACGAUGAAACUGUGUGAGCAGCUCAAGGAAGAAAGAGAUGAUCUCAAAUUAGCAGCAAGUCUAGCUCUAGAUGCUGUCCUCUCCCAGGAGAAACAGAUGGAGGUCUGUGAGGUGUGUGGAGCGUUCCUCAUCGUAGGUGACGCCCAGUCAAGGGUAGACGAUCAUCUCAUGGGCAAGCAGCACAUGGGGUAUGCUAAGAUCAAGGCUACAGUGGAGGAACUCAAGACUAAACGCAUGCAGCCAAUCCUGGAGCGCGAGGAACAACGACGCAAAGAGCAGGAGGAGCGGGAAAAGAAGCUGGAAGAAGAACGUGAGGAACGUCGCAAGAGACGUGAGGAACGUGAGAAGGAACGUGAGAAGGAACGCGAAGAACGGCGCAAGAAGGAGAAAGAGCGGGAAAAGGAACGAGAGAAGGAACGUGAGAGGCGACGGUCACGUUCCAGGGACAGGCGGAGGACCAGAUCACGUAGUAAGGAUCGACGACGACGGUCACGAAGUCGCGAUAGAAAGCGUAGCCGUAGCCGUGACAAGAACCGUAGACGCAGCAGGAGCCGCAGCAGGCACAGACGAAGCAGAGAUAGAAGCAGGGACCACCGACGUCGUUCACGGUCCGGCAGCCGUGACAGACGCCGUCGUUCCCGUAGUCACUCGCGCUCCCGUCGACGAUCCAGGUCACGGUCGCGCCAUUCGCGCUCCAAGCGCAGCCACUCAGGGUCCCGUAGCCAUGACUCCAAACGCCGCGAGUCUAAGAGCCAGGAUAAUACUGGACAGGAACAGGGGAAGGAGUCAUCAGAGAAACAGGCCAAUCAUGAGACUAAGGAUGUCACGCCAAAGGAGGACAACAAUCACGACAACGUUGAGCAUGGUGGAACCACAAACGAGGCCACUAACAAUUCACAUGAAGAUGAAGAAGCUACCGCAGUUGACAAUGACCUGGAAUCCAAGACCAAACUGGGCACCCCAGGAUCCGCCAGCAAGCACACCCCAGACAGGAUGGAAGAUGGACUCACCACUAAACCUGAAGGUGACACUUACUCUGAUAACUGAUCCACAGUUUGAAGGCCCAGGGCAGUUGACGAAAACAACCUGAAGACAGAGAUCAAGACACAAAACGACGUUGUUGAUGAUGAUUGUUGCCAUGAUGAUGAGGAAAUACUCACGAUGGAUCAUCAUUGCGAGCGUCUUCAACCUUCACCAACUGCCAGGCCAUGUGGACUCUCACUGAUUGUACACUAAGUGUUAUUGCCAAAUGCCUCUCAUGGGCAGCAUACGUCCAGGGUGUACGGUUUAGUCUUACAUGAAUCAUUCUAAGGUAUGUGGUUUAGUUAGGUACUCUAGUGCACACUGACGUCUGCUCAAGCCAAUCACAAGGUGGGUCACUUUGUCUGAUUUUAUUUGUACUUUCAUUAUUUUUUUUUGUGUAAAUAGUUUUGUGCAGUCCUUAUUGUUAUACAGGGACCUGUUUUACCUUGCAUUGCUCGGAGAUGGUUGAACAUAGAGCAAAUUGAUUUAAGAUGCAUCCCCCGUGCUAUUUCAAGUUGCACCCCGAAAAAUAGAUUGGGUGUUUUUUUAAUUUUUAUUUUCCUAACGAUAUAAAAGUUAUUGUCUUUUAAAUGAGACUUCAAACGAAAAUAUCCACCAACGUUUAGUUAUUUAAUUAUUCCUUUACAAAAUUGGAAUUAUUUGCCACCCAACAAUAAUUAGGUUAUCGCAGGGCAGAUUCAUUUGUGCUCAAAAGACGCCAAAAAAUCUGGAAAAGAAAGGGUUUUUUUGUCAAACAAAACAUACAAAUUGAAAAUUUGUGAGGCGAAAAAAGUAUUCUUUUUUAAGAGCACGGGGCACAUCUUUAAGGACCGAUGGUCAACUAGUAGUUAAUUCAUCAUUGGACCUUCCACCUGCACGUUAACGUUAUAUUUGGAACAUCUCCAGUUGAAUAAUAGUCAAACAAAUUCUCAUGAUCCUGGCCCCCUGCUGUUUGUUUGAAUAUGCACAGCUAGUGGUAACCAGUGAUGCACAACUAACCUCAGUAAAAAGCUGGCCCUAAAUAGUUGAGUUGACUUGCCAACUGUCAUUUAUAGUAGACGGUUAGUCCAAUUAUGGUUGAUCAUAUUUUUCAUCAAAUUUGGUCAUAAUUGUCAAAAGUGCUCAUUAUUGACUGUGAAGAAAUGCAUUACAUUGUUGCAUUCUUCACUUUGAAAAUUCCAGAAAUAAAUAUUAAAAAUAAAAAGGUUUACAAGCCAAAAUUUUAUUCCUUUUCAUUUACUCCUCGCCACUACUUGGAUUGAGCACAUAGAAAUGCAGAUUUUUAAUUUGCAUAAAACUUGUGAGUCUGUCAUUAGGUUACUUUGAAGUAGAAAUGAUUUGAGGAAGUGAACGUUAGGUCACAAUUGUUCCAUCAAUUGCAUUUGGAACUUGUGAAAUUGACAUGAUUGUUAUAACUGGAAAAUUAUAAAUAAUAUGAAAGACUUGAGUGCAUUGUAUUAAUUGUUAUCUGAAUAACAAAUUAUGUGACUUUUGAAGAAGUGUGCAGUUUUGCGAAGAAAUGUACAACUUCUAAAGAGCUGUAAUCCAGCUAAUAUUUUGAAUCCAUUAACAAACAUCUGUAUGGCCGUCAUAGUCUGUUCUAGCCUGGGUACCAUACGGUUUGGUCCUAUACAGGUAGACAAUCCUCAUAUGUCGGCAAGACGUGUAAAAAAAUCACCAUCUUCCUGUGAGGCUAUAUUCAACAGGUACGUUAUUAGAUAAAGGCCACCCAGAUGUAAAUUUGUGUUGGUCAUUUGUAUGUGUGUAAGAUCGGUAAAUCUUUAGUUUUUGUGCACAGAAACUAUUCCAGUGGAACUGAAUAUGAAUGUAAUGAACAGAGUGCCAAGGCUUUUCCAUUGUGGAAACAUUCAGAAAGAUGUUACGUUAAAUUGUCUUAUAUUCUUUGUUUUUAUUUGUACGGCAAAAUAAUUACGACAGAUUUCAAAUGUUCAAAGCUAUUGAUGUCUUGAAAUUGAUACAUUGUGAGAAAGGUUUAUCUACGGUCUGGAAGCAUUUGUCAAAAUUCCUCUUUGUUAAUAGAUCCCAUAGUUCAUGCCUAGCUAGAGUUUGCUUGAAUGAGAAAUAAAAAAAUUGAAAUAUUUAGAAAGAUUUAAGGCAUAGGACACGGAUGUGCUUUUAUAAUUUCAAUUUGUGGGUUAUUCGUUUUAUAAUGGUAACAUUUUUGGUUCUAUAACUGCUGGGGUGAUAAGCUUGAAAUAUUGCGACAGUUUUAGAAAGACGUUACAAUUUGGAAAUCUCUAUGCUACAGACAGAAUAAAAGUUGGAAGAUUGAUAAAUAAAAUUUCCAAUGAAAGAAGAGAAA
Molecule: unclassified non-coding RNA, 3852 nt
Filed under: Patiria miniata (bat star)
Lineage: Eukaryota; Metazoa; Echinodermata; Asteroidea; Valvatida; Asterinidae
Description: luc7-like protein 3, transcript variant X1
Source: RNAcentral